RNAcentral lists this ribosomal RNA (252 nucleotides) under uncultured bacterium. RNAcentral describes it as "partial 16S ribosomal RNA". It matches the Rfam family "Bacterial small subunit ribosomal RNA", at positions 524 to 776 of the family's 1533-position model. The record is from RNAcentral.
UACAGAGGUCCCAAGCGUUGUUCGGAAUUACUGGGCGUAAAGGGCUCGUAGGCGGCCAACUAAGUCGGACGUGAAAUCCCUCGGCUUAACCGGGGAACUGCGUCCGAUACUGGAUGGCUUGAGUUCGGGAGAGGGAUGCGGAAUUCCAGGUGUAGCGGUGAAAUGCGUAGAUAUCUGGAGGAACACCGGUGGCGAAGGCGGCAUCCUGGACCGACACUGACGCUGAGGAGCGAAAGCCAGGGAGCAAACGGG